This 44-nucleotide non-coding RNA is filed under the name Pseudoalteromonas luteoviolacea. Its description in RNAcentral is "Guanidine-II sequence". It matches the Rfam family "Guanidine-II riboswitch aptamer (mini-ykkC)". From Rfam's summary of the family: Simpler in structure and has fewer highly conserved nucleotide positions than the ykkC-yxkD leader. Despite this each of its two stem-loop structures directly bind free guanidine. The record is from RNAcentral. Lineage: Bacteria; Pseudomonadati; Pseudomonadota; Gammaproteobacteria; Alteromonadales; Pseudoalteromonadaceae.
AAGUAAGGACGACCUUACCGCUCCAACUCAUAGGGGACGGCCCC